RNAcentral lists this ribosomal RNA (425 nucleotides) under uncultured bacterium. RNAcentral's name for it is "bacterial SSU rRNA". It matches the Rfam family "Bacterial small subunit ribosomal RNA", at positions 354 to 796 of the family's 1533-position model. The record is from RNAcentral.
GUGGGGAAUCUUAGACAAUGGGGGAAACCCUGAUCUAGCCAUGCCGCGUGAGCGAUGAAGGCCUUAGGGUUGUAAAGCUCUUUCAGUGGGGAAGAUAAUGACGGUACCCACAGAAGAAGCCCCGGCUAACUCCGUGCCAGCAGCCGCGGUAAUACGGAGGGGGCUAGCGUUGUUCGGAAUUACUGGGCGUAAAGCGCACGUAGGCGGACGGACAAGUCAGAGGUGAAAUCCCGGGGCUCAACCCUGGAACUGCCUUUGAAACUGUCUGUCUUGAGGUCGGGAGAGGUGAGUGGAAUUCCGAGUGUAGAGGUGAAAUUCGUAGAUAUUCGGAGGAACACCGGUGGCGAAGGCGGCUCACUGGCCCGAUACUGACGCUGAGGUGCGAAAGCGUGGGGAGCAAACAGGAUUAGAUACCCGGGUAGUCC